GUCUAGCAAUCUGCCCACCUCAGCCUCUCAAAGUGUUGGGAUUACAGGCGUGAGCCACUGCACCCGGCACCUGCUUGAAUUUUGAAAAUGGCUUGACCUGGAGGGGAUGCCACUCCUCUGGGAAGCAGAGUGGCACAUGGGGGUUGUGGAGGCUUUGCUAGUGCUGGACCUUCAACAGAAGGUUGAAUCUGAGCAUGUGUUGAAGCUGCUGUUAGGAGAACAGCUGCAGUUAACAAGACCCAACCUGGGAAACACACUAUUCAGGAGUGAUAAAGAAUCCGAGGCGCAGAGAGGUGGCACUGCUGGAAGGAACAGAGCCAGAUCCACAAGAUCCUUCAUUCCGACAAUAAAUAUUCACUGAAGAUCUGCCACAUGUCAGGCCCCAGCCCAGGUGCUGGGGAUUUAGCAGAAAACCAGCCAGACCCAUUUCCUGCAUCCAUGGAGUGCACAGGCUGGUGGGGGAGAUGGGCUAGAAAUCCAUGAACCAAAUUAUACUGAGACGAGCGAGCACCGAGCGCCUAGCGUGGACUGCGACCGCUCGGGCUCCUGUAUCUGUGACAGAUGUGCUUGGGCUCCUCGUAGGACCGAGGGACUUUGUUAUCCACACCACUGGCCUUGAAGUUGGCUGCUACCUGAUGAGAUGAAUUAAGAACAUACCAGCACUUUGGGAGGCUGAAGUGGGUGGAUCACGAGAUCAGGAAAUUGAGGUCCAGUGAGGUGUCUUGGCCAGGACACUCAGUCAGGACGUGACAUGAACACAGGACUGUCUGACUUCAAAUCCAGUGCUCCUUCCCCUGCAGUCCCCACCCCACUGACUGGGGGACAGUGCUCCAGGCAGCUGGAAUGGGACACGGUUUGUGUGGCAGCGAGAUAUCCAGGCUCUCCUCCUUCCAGAUCUAAGGAUUCAAACCCAGGUCUGCUUGACUAGGAAGGCCGGCCCUCUCCAUGGUGCCAGGACAACUCUUUGGAGAAGAUGCCCCUCUCUCUGCCUGCCUGAAUCUUCUCCGUCCACAAAGGCCUGCUCCAUCCUCCCUCCUCCAGGAAGCUUUCCCUGACUGUCCCCGGGCCCAGCCAGGGUGUCUGGGGGGCUGGAGAGACCCACAGAGCCCUGAUCACCGUGGCUGGCCCGUAAGUGUGGCGACUGAGUCCCAGUCUGGAGGCACAGCUGGACUUUCCCAGAGAGAACUGAGGCAUUGUGGGAAUUUCCCAGCUGUGACCCCAGGACCCUGAUUGCCCAGAAUGGCUCCAAGUUCACAUAUCUAGGGACCGUCACCAAGACUCCUGUAUCUAUAUUAAACUCGGUAAAUGUGA
This 1311-nucleotide long non-coding RNA is filed under the name Homo sapiens (human). Its description in RNAcentral is "HSALNT0290727". Lineage: Eukaryota; Metazoa; Chordata; Mammalia; Primates; Hominidae. The record is from RNAcentral.